RNAcentral lists this unclassified non-coding RNA (427 nucleotides) under Hevea brasiliensis (rubber tree). The record is from RNAcentral. Lineage: Eukaryota; Viridiplantae; Streptophyta; Magnoliopsida; Malpighiales; Euphorbiaceae.
CACUUAUAUGUAUGUAUAUAAUUACUUAAAUGCUAGACACGCUCCUUUGCUACAUAUGUUAUUGAAUUUGUUUAUAGAUGUCGCCUUAAAAUAACUUGGAGCUCUGUGUGUGUGUGUUAGCGCGAGUAUUGUGUGGAUAUGCAUAUGGGCAGGACGGCUAGUUGCUGCUAGAGCUUGACUCGCUGGGAUCUAGUCCUUAUAUAUAGAUAAGUCGGGGUGAGCACAGCUUUAAGUUGAUCUCACUGGCUUCUGCACUUGAAUUAUUAAGGGAAAGUCCGGAUUGAGUUGACCUCGUUAGCAGGUAUUAGAUUAAGAAAAUUGUAUGGGGGAUCAGCUCUCAUAUAUGUAUUGAUGUGACACAUGGGUGCAUGCAUACUCUAAGUUAUCUUUUGUACGAAUAUUAGUUGAAUUGUUUGAACUACGUGAA